AUCGAACGCUGGCGGCAGGCCUAACACAUGCAAGUCGAGCGGAGCGUCGGACGGGUGAUUAAUGCCGAGGAAUCUGCCCGGUAGUGGGGGACCCCUUCCGGAAACGGGCGCCAAUACCGCAUACUAUCAGAGCAGCUUAGGUCGGCUUAGCUAGUUGGUGGGGCAAAGGCCUACCAAGGUGACGAUCCAUAACUGGCCUGAGAGGAUGAUCAGUCACACUGGAACUGAGACACGGUCCAGACUCCUACGGGAGGCAGCAGUGGGGAAUCUUGCGCAAUGGGCGAAAGCCUGAUGCAGCCAUGCCGCGUGUAUGAAGAAGGCCUUCGGAUUGUAAAAUUCUUUCGGCGGGGAAGCGUUACCCACACAGAAAGCACCGGCUAACUCCGUGCCAGCAGCCGCGGUAAUUC
This 407-nucleotide ribosomal RNA is filed under the name uncultured bacterium. RNAcentral describes it as "partial 16S ribosomal RNA". It matches the Rfam family "Bacterial small subunit ribosomal RNA", at positions 30 to 526 of the family's 1533-position model. The record is from RNAcentral.